RNAcentral lists this ribosomal RNA (1384 nucleotides) under uncultured bacterium. RNAcentral describes it as "16S ribosomal RNA". It matches the Rfam family "Bacterial small subunit ribosomal RNA". The record is from RNAcentral.
GAGUUUGAUCCUGGCUCAGGAUGAACGCUGGCGGCAUGCCUAAUACAUGCAAGUCGAACGAGGGUCCUUCGGGACUCGAGUGGCGAACGGGUGAGUAACACGUAGGGAACCUGCCCGUGCGACCGGGAGAACUUUCGGAAACGGAAGCUGAUACCGGAUAGGGACAGAGACGGCAUCGACUCUGUGUUAAAGGAGCUGAAAGGCUCCGCGCACGGAUGGACCUGCGGUGCAUUAGCUAGUUGGUGAGGUAACGGCCCACCAAGGCGACGAUGCAUAGCCGGCCUGAGAGGGCGGACGGCCACACUGGGACUGAGACACGGCCCAGACUCCUACGGGAGGCAGCAGUAGGGAAUUUUCGUCAAUGGGCGCAAGCCUGAACGAGCAAUGCCGCGUGAACGAGGAAGGUCUUCGGAUCGUAAAGUUCUGUUGAAGGGGAAAAAGAGCGGAGAGAGGAAAUGAACUCCGAUUGAUAUUACCCUUCGAGGAAGUCACGGCUAACUACGUGCCAGCAGCCGCGGUAAUACAUAGGUGGCGAGCGUUAUCCGGAAUGAUUGGGCGUAAAGGGUGCGUAGGCGGCCUGCUAAGUCUGGAGUGAAAGGUACCGGCUCAACCGGUACAGGCUCUGGAAACUGGCGGGCUAGAGAGCAGGAGAGGGCGGUGGAACUCCAUGUGUAGCGGUAAAAUGCGUAGAUAUAUGGAAGAACACCAGUGGCGAAGGCGGCCGCCUGGCCUGUUACUGACGCUGAGGCACGAAAGCGUGGGGAGCAAAUAGGAUUAGAUACCCUAGUAGUCCACGCCGUAAACGAUGAGGACCAAGUGUUGGGGAAGACCCAGUGCUGCAGUUAACGCAGUGAGUCCUCCGCCUGGGGAGUAUGCACGCAAGUGUGAAACUCAAAGGAAUUGACGGGGGCCCGCACAAGCGGUGGAGUAUGUGGUUUAAUUCGAAGCAACGCGAAGAACCUUACCAGGCCUUGACAUAGGGUGCGAAGCUAUGGAGACAUAGUGGAGGUAAACAUCCAUACAGGUGGUGCAUGGUUGUCGUCAGCUCGUGUCGUGAGAUGUUCAGUUAAGUCUGGCAACGAGCGCAACCCUCGUGAUGUGUUACCAAUAUCGAGUUAGGGACUCACAUCAGACUGCCGGUGAGAAACCGGAGGAAGGCGGGGAUGACGUCAAAUCAUCAUGCCCCUUAUGGCCUGGGCUACACACGUACUACAAUGGCGGCGACAGAGGGCAGCGAGCCUGCGAAGGCAAGCGAAUCCCCAAAAAGCCGUCCCAGUUCGGAUUGGAGUCUGCAACCCGACUCCAUGAAGUUGGAAUCGCUAGUAAUCGCGGAUCAGCAUGCCGCGGUGAAUACGUUCUCGGGCCUUGCACACACCGCCCGUCA